RNAcentral lists this ribosomal RNA (495 nucleotides) under uncultured bacterium. Its description in RNAcentral is "partial 16S ribosomal RNA". It matches the Rfam family "Bacterial small subunit ribosomal RNA", at positions 29 to 506 of the family's 1533-position model. The record is from RNAcentral.
AUGCACGCUGGCGGCGUGCCUAAUACAUGCAAGUCGAGCGAACAGACGAGGAGCUUGCUCCUCUGACGUUAGCGGCGGACGGGUGAGUAACACGUGGAUAACCUACCUAUAAGACUGGGAUAACUUCGGGAAACCGGAGCUAAUACCGGAUAAUAUAUUGAACCGCAUGGUUCAAUAGUGAAAGACGGUUUUGCUGUCACUUAUAGAUGGAUCCGCGCCGCAUUAGCUAGUUGGUAAGGUAACGGCUUACCAAGGCAACGAUGCGUAGCCGACCUGAGAGGGUGAUCGGCCACACGGGAACUGAGACACGGUCCAGACUCCUACGGGAGGCAGCAGUAGGGAAUCUUCCGCAAUGGGCGAAAGCUUGACGGGGCAACGCCGCGUGAGUGAUGAAGGUCUUCGGAUCGUAAAACUCUGUUAUUAGGGAAGAACAAAUGUGUAAGUAACUAUGCACGUCUUGACGGUACCUAAUCAGAAAGCCACGGCUAACUACGU